This 305-nucleotide ribosomal RNA is filed under the name uncultured bacterium. Its description in RNAcentral is "bacterial SSU rRNA". It matches the Rfam family "Bacterial small subunit ribosomal RNA", at positions 334 to 637 of the family's 1533-position model. The record is from RNAcentral.
UCGGCCUACGGGACGCAGCAGUGAGGAAUAUUGGUCAAUGGGCGCGAGCCCGAACCAGCCAAGUGGCGUGAAGGAUGACUGCCCUACGGGUUGUAAACUUCUUUUAUAAAGGAAUAAAGUGAGGCACGUGUGCCUUUUUGUAUGUACUUUAUGAAUAAGGAUCGGCUAACUCCGUGCCAGCAGCCGCGGUAAUACGGAGGAUGCGAGCGUUAUCCGGAUUUAUUGGGUUUAAAGGGUGCGCAGGCGGCCUGUUAAGUCAGCGGUAAAAGCCCGGGGCUCAACCCCGGCGAGCCGUUGAAACUGGG